Molecule: long non-coding RNA, 668 nt
Organism: Patiria miniata (bat star)
Lineage: Eukaryota; Metazoa; Echinodermata; Asteroidea; Valvatida; Asterinidae
Exons: 3
Source: RefSeq, a predicted model, not a curated record
UUUAUGGAGGAGGAGGAAGAGGAGAAACAGGACGAGGUCAAGAAGGACAAGGCAAACUUGGAGGAGGAUGAAGGGAGCGAAGAAGACGAAACAAAGGAAGACAAUAAGGAGGAACUAUGAGCCGAUGAAAUUUCGACCAUAGUAUAUCAAGACCCAAGACUUUCAGCCAUCAUGGGCCCAUUCAAGGAUCUGCAAUGGAUGUAUGAGGACCAGCUCCAAGACCGGUGGGUAACCCGUACGCCUAUUUACAGGACUGCCUCCUUCAAUUUCAUAAGGUGGCAAAGAAGAUGCUUGCCAAGGGUUUCAUUGAAGAGGACCUACGAAUUCACCUGCAGGAACUGGAUAAAAUACAGCAUGUUUACAACAAUCCGCUCAUCUGUCUGGAAAUGAGUCUGUUGUGGAGGGAGUUCAAGGCCCAUUUGAGGAUCUGCAAUGGAUGUAUGAGGACCGGCUCCAAGACGGGUACCCGUACACCUAUUUACAAGACUGCCUCAGUCAAUUUAAUAAGGUGGCAAAGAAGAUGCUCGCCAUGGGUAUCAUCGAAGAGGAACGACGACUUCGCCAGAAGGAACUGGAUAAAAUGCAUCGUGUUUACAACAACCCACUCAUCUGUCUGGAAAUAUUUCUGUUGUGGAGGGAGUUGAAAACCGUCAGUUUUCAAACUGCCC